Molecule: transfer RNA, 62 nt
Filed under: Aquatica lateralis (Japanese firefly)
Lineage: Eukaryota; Metazoa; Arthropoda; Insecta; Coleoptera; Lampyridae
Also listed under: 2 other names
Description: tRNA-Thr
Source: RNAcentral
GUUUUAAUAAUUUAAUCAAAAUAUUGGUCUUGUAAACCAAAAAUAAGUAAUCUUUUAAAACU